AGUCGAACGGGAAAGCCCGCAAGGGUGAGUACAGUGGCGCACGGGUGCGUAACACGUGGGUAAUCUGCCCUGGAGCCCGGAAUAACUCCCCGAAAGGGGUGCUAAUGCCGGAUAAGACCACGGGGACCUCGGUCCCUGCGGGAAAAGGUGGCCUCUGUAUACAAGCUAUCUCUUCAGGAUGAGCCCGCGGCCCAUCAGCUAGUUGGCGGGGUAACGGCCCACCAAGGCUACGACGGGUAGCUGGUCUGAGAGGACGAUCAGCCACACUGGAACUGAGACACGGUCCAGACUCCUACGGGAGGCAGCAGUGGGGAAUCUUGCGCAAUGGGCGAAAGCCUGACGCAGCAACGCCGCGUGUGUGGUGAAGGUCUUCGGAUCGUAAAGCACUGUCGGGAGGGACGAAUAAGGGCCGGGUGAACAAUCCGGUCUGACGACGGUACCUCCAAAGGAAGCACCGGCUAACUCUGUGCCAGCAGCCGCGGUAAUACAGAGGGUGCUAGCGUUGUUCGGAAUUAUUGGGCGUAAAGCGCGUGUAGGCGGCCGAUCAAGUCGGAUGUGAAAGCCCUCGGCUUAACCGAGGAAGUGCGUUCGAUACUAGUUGGCUUGAGUACCGGAGAGGGUGGUGGAAUUCCCGGUGUAGAGGUGAAAUUCGUAGAUAUCGGGAGGAACACCAGCGGCGAAGGCGACCACCUGG
This 694-nucleotide ribosomal RNA is filed under the name uncultured Anaeromyxobacter sp. RNAcentral describes it as "bacterial SSU rRNA". It matches the Rfam family "Bacterial small subunit ribosomal RNA", at positions 60 to 732 of the family's 1533-position model. Lineage: Bacteria; Pseudomonadati; Myxococcota; Myxococcia; Myxococcales; Anaeromyxobacteraceae. The record is from RNAcentral.